GACAGAGGUCCCGAGCGUUAGGCGGAAUCACUGGGCUUAAAGCGUGUGUAGGCGGAUUUGUAAGUACCUUGUGAAAUCCCACGGCUCAACCGUGGAACUGCUUGGUAUACUGCUUAUCUUGGGCCAUCUAGGGGCUACCGGAACAAGUGGUGGAGCGGUGAAAUGCGUAGAUAUCACUUGGAACGCCAAUGGUGAAAACAGGUAGCUGGGGAUGUGCCGACGCUGAGACACGAAAGCCAGGGGAGCGAACGGGG
Molecule: ribosomal RNA, 254 nt
Filed under: uncultured bacterium
Lineage: Bacteria
Description: partial 16S ribosomal RNA
Rfam family: Bacterial small subunit ribosomal RNA
Source: RNAcentral